Molecule: RNA transcript, 1721 nt
Organism: Trifolium pratense (red clover)
Lineage: Eukaryota; Viridiplantae; Streptophyta; Magnoliopsida; Fabales; Fabaceae
Source: RefSeq, a predicted model, not a curated record
AAUAUUAGCUUUUUUCAUUUCAUUAGUGGAGUUAACAUCCACACACACACAAAAAAAAAGAUGAGUACUGCCUCUUCUAAUGGCGCACCCUCCCUCACCAACGUCCCUAUCAUCAAGUUCACAAAGCUAUUCAUUAAUGGAGAUUUUGUUGAUUCAGUUUCAGGGAAGACAUUUGAGACAAUAGAUCCAAGAACAGGAGAAGUUAUAGCAAGGGUUAGUGAAGGAACCAAAGAAGACAUUGAUAUUGCUGUAAAGGCAGCACGUUACGCAUUUGAUUUUGGUCCAUGGCCUCGCCUGCCUGGUGUUGAGAGAGCAAAACUUAUGAUGAAAUUUGCGGACCUAAUUGAGCAAAACACAGAAGAACUAGCAGCACUAGAUGCCAUUGAUGCAGGAAAGUUGUACCAUUUGUGUAAGGCAAUAGACAUUCCCUCUGCAGCAAAUACACUACGUUACUAUGCAGGUGCAGCUGAUAAAAUUCAUGGUGAGGUAUUAAAAGCUUCAAGGGAGUUACAUGCUUAUACAUUGUUGGAACCAAUUGGUGUUGUUGGACAUAUAAUUCCAUGGAACUUUCCCACUGCUAUGUUCUUCAUCAAGGUUGCCCCUUCUUUAGCUGCUGGCUGCACCAUGGUCCUCAAACCUGCUGAACAAACACCUCUCUCUGCUUUGUUUUAUGCUCAUCUUGCUAAAUUGGCUGGAAUCCCAGAUGGAGUGAUCAAUGUAGUACCCGGAUUUGGACCAAUUGCUGGUGCUGCUGUUAGCUCACACAUGGACAUUGAUGCGGUAAGUUUUACUGGUUCAACACAAACUGGACGUAAGAUAAUGGAAGCUGCAGCUAAGAGUAACUUAAAACAUGUUUCACUUGAAUUAGGAGGAAAGUCACCACUCAUAAUUUUUGAUGAUGCUGAUAUUGAAAAAGCUACUGAACUUGCUCUAUUAGGCAUUCUAUUUAACAAGGGAGAAGUGUGUGUUGCAAGUUCACGUGUGUUUGUUCAAGAAGGGAUCUAUCAUGAAUUUGAGAAAAAAUUGGUAGAAAAAGCAAAAACUUGGGUCGUUGGUGACCCUUUUGAUCCUAAUGUUCAGCAAGGGCCUCAAGUUGACAAGAAGCAAUUUGAAAAAAUUCUUUCGUAUAUAGAGCAUGGGAAGAAAGAAGGAGCUACCCUUUUGACUGGGGGCAAAACAGUGGGAAACAAGGGAUACUACAUUGAGCCAACAAUUUUCUCUAAUAUAAAGGAUGAUAUGCUUAUAGCACAAGAUGAAAUAUUUGGUCCUGUGAUGGCACUGAACAAGUUUAAGACUGUUGAAGAAGCAAUUAAGAGUGCAAAUAAUACAAGAUAUGGGUUAGCAGCAGGUAUUGUGACAAAGAAUUUGGAUAUAGCAAACACUAUGUCAAGAUCCAUUCGUGCAGGCACUAUUUGGAUAAACUGUUAUUUUGCUUUUGGAGAUGAUAUUCCAUUUGGAGGAUAUAAAAUGAGUGGUUUUGGUAAAGAUCAUGGAUUACAAGCCCUUCAAAAAUAUCUACAAGUUAAAUCUGUUGUUACUCCAAUUUAUAAUUCUCCAUGGCUCUAAUUAACUAUUUUCCUCUGUAUUUUGGAAAGUGACUACUUUCCUACUUUCUACCGACACUCGUUUUACUUCUUUUUUGGUACACACUCAUCUAUUUAUAUGACAUAUCAUGGCCCAUGAAGUAGUGAUUAUAAAGUUUUUCGAUGAUUUUGGUCAAA